AAAGAAGUAUGAAAACUGAAUUAGUGAUGGAUUUCUCGUUUUCACACAAUUCUACAGUCACAUCUCUCAUUUAUUUGUCUCAUAAAAUAUUUAAAAAUAAUAAUAAAAAAAAUUGCCCCAACGACCAACAUUUGACUUUAUUAACAGACUGCUCCUCUCUCUGUUGUGCACAUAUGGGCUGAUGGAUCUAUCGUUUAUCUUCUUCAAUAGGAAUCCAUAGCUCUCUCUUUCUCUUUUUAUCAAACAGGUUAUCUUCUCACCUAUUCUAUUAGAAAUCUUUAUUAUAAUUUUCUUUUUUUUUUUUAGUUUGAUGUAACGAACUUUUGAAUAUGGGAAAUGUUUGUUCUGCUAUUUUUUCUUAGAGCUAUUUUGGGUUUAGAAUUUGUGGAAUUUGACUAAAGAAAAUGUGAAAAUCUUGAAUUGGUUCUCACAUCUUGUUUUCUCUGCAGCUUAAUUUUGGUUGAACUCCAACCAACCAAUCGUCUUCACUUGGAAUCUUUCUCUUCCCUUUGAUUUUCUUGGCAAACAAACAGAGCUUAUCAUUUUCUACGUCUUUUAUAUGCAUCCCUCUUGCAUGCGUAUAUAACCUAUAUUCUUAAGAUUUUAUCAGUUCUGAUUGCUUCAGGUUUUGUUUACUCUUUCUUUCUUUCUUUUUUAUUAUCAAUUUGAGGACCCUAUGUAUCUUUACAUAUUAUUCUUUUCUAUUUUAUCUAUUUUUUUUUAAUAUUAAUCCUUCUGAUUUUGCUGGAAGACCUUUGCUCUGUUAAUUUUGUUUGUUUCACUAUAUAAAAAAGAAUAAAUGUGCAGCUUAUAUAUCCUGCUUCGUAGGUGAAGAGUAAAUGGACUU
This 847-nucleotide unclassified non-coding RNA is filed under the name Hevea brasiliensis (rubber tree). The record is from RNAcentral. Lineage: Eukaryota; Viridiplantae; Streptophyta; Magnoliopsida; Malpighiales; Euphorbiaceae.